Molecule: small nucleolar RNA, 64 nt
Organism: Abrus precatorius (Indian licorice)
Lineage: Eukaryota; Viridiplantae; Streptophyta; Magnoliopsida; Fabales; Fabaceae
Product: small nucleolar RNA snoR101
Exons: 1
Source: RefSeq, a predicted model, not a curated record
GUUUUACACUUGAUCUCUGGACUUUAGGUAAGUUCAUGUGUUGAUAAGUUCAUUCACUAAUACU